ACCAAAUAGAUACCCAGGUAGUCCACGCCCUAAACCGAUGCGAACUGGAUGUUGGGUACAUUACGGUACUCAGUGUCGAAAGCUAAACGCGUUAAGUUCGCCGCCUGGGGAGUACGGUCGCAAGACUGAAACUCAAAGGAAUUGACGGGGGCCCGGCACAAGCGGUGGAGUAUGUGGUUUAAUUCGAUGCAACGCGAAGAACCUUACCUGGCCUUGACAUCUGUCGAAUCCUGCAGAGAUGCGGGAGUGCCGCAAGGAACGACAAGACAGGUGCUGCAUGGCUGUCGUCAGCUCGUGUCGUGAGAUGUUGGGUUAAGUUCCCGCAACGAGCGCAACCCUUGUCCCUAGUUGCCAGCACGUAAUGGUGGGAACUCUAGGGAGACUGCCGGUGACAAACCGGAGGAAGGUGGGGAUGACGUCAAGUCCUCAUGGCCCUUAC
RNAcentral lists this ribosomal RNA (439 nucleotides) under uncultured bacterium. RNAcentral describes it as "bacterial SSU rRNA". It matches the Rfam family "Bacterial small subunit ribosomal RNA", at positions 768 to 1205 of the family's 1533-position model. The record is from RNAcentral.